GCCGUCAUAGCUCAGUGGUAGAGCGUUUCCAUGGUAAGGAAAAGGUCCCGGGUUCAAUCCCCGGUGACGGCUCCA
This 75-nucleotide transfer RNA is filed under the name Candidatus Doudnaibacteriota bacterium. RNAcentral describes it as "Candidatus Doudnabacteria bacterium tRNA-Thr". It matches the Rfam family "tRNA". Rfam says of the family: Transfer RNA (tRNA) molecules are approximately 80 nucleotides in length. Their secondary structure includes four short double-helical elements and three loops (D, anti-codon, and T loops). RNAcentral also lists the same sequence under 1 other name. Lineage: Bacteria; Candidatus Doudnaibacteriota. The record is from RNAcentral.